UACGGGGGGGGCAAGCGUUGUUCGGAAUUACUGGGCGUAAAGGGCUCGUAGGCGGCCAACUAAGUCGGAUGUGAAAUCCCCAGGCUUAACCUGGGAACUGCAUCCGAUACUGGAUGGCUUGAAUCCGGGAGAGGGAUGCAGAAUUCCAGGUGUAGCGGUGAGAUGCGUAGAUAUCUGGAGGAACACCGGUGGCGAAGGCGGCAUCCUGGACCGGUAUUGACGCUGAGGCGCGAAAGCCAGGGGAGCAAACGGG
This 253-nucleotide ribosomal RNA is filed under the name uncultured bacterium. Its description in RNAcentral is "partial 16S ribosomal RNA". It matches the Rfam family "Bacterial small subunit ribosomal RNA", at positions 524 to 776 of the family's 1533-position model. The record is from RNAcentral.